Long non-coding RNA from Bos taurus (domestic cattle), 418 nucleotides. Lineage: Eukaryota; Metazoa; Chordata; Mammalia; Artiodactyla; Bovidae. The record is from Ensembl.
GAUAAUCACAAUGAGGAGCAUAGUUCUCUAGAAGGUUUCAUUUUCUUCGGACAGUUUAAUUCAGGAGAACACUAUUUGACAAACUCUUUCACACCAACAAAUAUAUCAGGACGGAUAUUUUGGUCUAGAAAGAGCAUUUGGUCUACUUCCAGCCAGAGAAGAUCCACCAGGAGUUCUUGCCCCACGCAUCUGAGGCUUCCUGGCAGUGCUAGGCAUAGAGAAAUGACCAGGAGCUGAACAUCUCUACCUCCAGACCGACAGAGGGUCAUAAAUCUUGAAGAAUCAAGUAGGCACCUGAAGGGCCACAGUAUCUGCACUGAUUGCACUCAAGAUGAGUUCUAAGAAAAGACUGCCUUUUGACCAGAUAAAAUAUUUCUUCACAGAUCUCUGCACACACCUUCCCCGUUCCAACCUACAU